This 3827-nucleotide long non-coding RNA is filed under the name Manihot esculenta (cassava). RNAcentral describes it as "long non-coding RNA (MESC_LNC004346)". The record is from RNAcentral. Lineage: Eukaryota; Viridiplantae; Streptophyta; Magnoliopsida; Malpighiales; Euphorbiaceae.
CACAUCUACUCUACCUAGCACUAGGCAUCAUUAGAACAAUGGUAUUAUAUGCACUACAAGAUUCCUGAACACACCCAGAAAAAUGGAAACAGAAGCAUUUGGCUUUUAGCAGAGCAGAGAAUUUUGGUUUUAGCUGCAUGAAUUGGCCAGACUCUAAAUAGAUCUUUUUUAUUUCAGGUGAUUCUUGAAUUUGAAAUCUGUCAGCAAAGCUUGAAGUUGGAUUCUAGGAAAUUGGAAGGUUUAGAAAGAGCAUAGCUUGAUUAGAAGUUCAGAACCAUCUUUUUCCAUUGGUAACUGCUUUAAGUUUCAUCACAAGCUCUUCCCUUUGAGCUUCUACCUCAGCAUAUUUGAGACUCAUGUGGAAGUAGCGUUCCCGAAUAUCUCUUAACUCUGUCUCUAAUGAUGAUUUUGUGCGUUCGAAUUUUUCUUUCGGUACGAAUUCACCUUCUGCUUUUGAUUUUCUUGGAGAUCCUGUGCGACCUUUCCAGCUCUCAGAGAUCAACCUGUGUCCAGGCCAAGUUACCAAAAAACAAUUAUGUGAAAAUGGAAGCAGAGGUUCCAUAUAAAACUAUCUGGGAUUUCCUGCACAGAUGACUUAGUUGAUGAAUGAUCUGAAAAAUCACCUGUAAAUGUUGCUUGGUUGGCUAAAUUAAACAUGGUUUUACUUAAAUACUUGCCUUUUAACCUGAGCUUUAUAUGCAUUGUUUGCUUCCAUGGCCUUGUUGGACUGUUCAUCCUCAAGCACCUGAAUUUUUGAGGAAUUAUCACCCUGAUUUCGGAAAAAAACAGCAUUCGAUGCUUCAAAGAAUCAGAUGAAAUCAUUGCUCAAAAGAAGAAGAAAACAGAGGAAAACAGAAGAGAAUGCAUACUUCUCUUUGCUGUUGAUUACUGGGAGAAUUUACACUUUUCGAUUCCCUCGAAUUUCUUUGUUUUUCCUUCAUCAAUAUCAACUCUUCUUCAAGGGAUUGAAUUCUUUUUGUGCACUUUUCUUUCUCUUCCUCAAGUUGUUGUAUCUGUUGUUGAAGUUGCUUGUUUGUUCUCUUGAUCCGGCUGAGCUCAUUUUUAAGUUCUGCAUCCUGUUCACAUAAAGCUUCUUUUGCUGUUAGGUCACUCGCCAAUUGUUGAAGCUUUUGUUCCAAGUCAAAUUUAUCUUGUUUGCAUUCUUCUAAUUCUGAAACAGCCUUCUGCAAGUCAGUGAUCUUUUUAAUAAACAAAUUGGUCUCUAUCUUCAACUCUUUGCAUUCUUCAGAUUUUAGAUGCAUUGAAGUUUCUAGUUUCUCUUUCUCAGACAUGAUUGCAUUCAGUUCAUUCUUUAGAGCCAAAAAUUCAUCCUGAAGAGUUCCAAUUUUCAGCAACUCAGUCUUCAAAUUGGUAGAUUCUUCCAUGAGUUGUUGCUUCUCAUACUCGGAAACCGUAAGCUUCAGUUCGAGCUCAUUAACUGUGGUCUCAAGUUUUUCAUCACAUGAUCUGUAAUUUUCCAACAACUUCAACGUUUUUCCAUUAUCAUUCUUCAGCUUUUCUUGGUUUUGAUUAGAGGAAGCAAGCUCCUCCAUCAAGUUUUGAAUCUUCUGCUUGGAUUCCAUCUGAAUGGUGCUGAGUUCUGAUUCCAGCUUAGAUAUAAUUGCGCGUAAAGCAGACGCUUCAUGCUCAGCAUCAGAAGCUAUCCUCUCUUUUUCAUCUUGAGUUGUAGAAAGUUUCUUGGUAAUGUCUCCAAUCUCUCGUUUAAGAUUCUCAACUUGAACGAUCUUCUCCAAAUACAUCUGAUUUAACACACCAACUUUCUUAUUCUGCUUAUCAUUUUCCUUGAGAAGUGCAUCAAGUUCUGAAGUUAGGCUUCUUUCUUUUGAGGCACUAUCUUCCAACAAUGAACGAAUAUUUUCUUGCAAAACAUUAACUUUUUUGGAGCAAUCAGCAAAACUUCUUUGUGAUUCCGUGAGUUUCGUCUCCAGUUGGUUACAAUGCCCUUGCAGCUCUAGUUUCUCCACUUGCAACUCUUCAUUCGAUUUCUGAAGUGACCUGCAUUCUUCCAUAAGACUCUCAGCAGCAACUUGUAACUUUGCAUUACCAUUUCUCAGAUGUUCUAGCUCUUCUUGAGCUUCUGACAAUUGAUCAUGCCUCUGUUCUAGCUUUUGUUUCACAUUCAUCUUCUGAGUCUCUAUCUCAUUUCUCAAUUUUGCAACCUCAGCUUGAAGAUUGACAGCAUUGGAUUUGGAACUCUCUAGCUCCAGUUCGAUCGACUCCCUCUCGUCUGUCAAGUUCAUGAUUUGAGCUUCCAGGCCAGAUAUGCAGGUUGACAACUCUCCAUUUUCCUGCUCAAGCUCUGAGAGAUGAAUCUCCAAUUCAUGCUUGCCAAUUUCUAGCUCUGAAGAUUUUCUCUGUAGAAUUUUAUUGGCAGAAACAUUAGUGUCCACACUUUUGCUGAGCACCAUUAAAUCCUUCCGCAAUUCAUUCAGGCAUUUGGUAGCAAUCUCACUCUCUCUAAUAACAAUUUCCACUUUUUCCUCUAGUUGGCUCUUUUCUUCUUGAAGAACAGAAAGCUUGUCUUCCAAUUCUCUUUGAUAUCUUUCAAGCCUCCCAAUCUCCUCUUCUUUUGACUGCAAACCAUUUUCAAGUCUUUCUAUCACCUCUCUUUUUUCAGUCAAUUCCUUAUUCAGUUCAUUAACUUGAUCUUCCAGAUUUAAUUUGACAUUCUCAAGUUCUUGAAUCGAAAGAUUGUAAUCAAUUUCAAUCUCCUUGAGAAUUUUCUUCUUCAUCUUCUCUUCAAGGGCAUGAAUUUGGGCUUCAUGAUUACUCUCUUCGAAACUGGAAGGGGUAAAAGAUGCACCUUCUUGUGUACAAUGGUUCUUCAUUUCCUUGAGCUUGAGUAAUAGCUCCAAGUUUUCAUCUGUUAGCUCCUGGCAAUCGCUUUCUAGCUCCUGCAGUUUAACUUUCAGUGAUUCAAUCUCUCUGACAAGAAUUCCCUCUCCUCCUUCUGUGGAUUCCUUUUCUGCUGAAUGAUGCCUUUGUUUCAGAGAUUCAGAAAACGUUGCUUUCAAACUGAUUAUUUCUUUGUCUUUAGCCGAUAGCUUGGAUUUAUAUUCUGUCUCCAUAUCCAGAAGCGUUCGAUGAUUGAAACUCCCAUUGUCUGAGUUUCGGGUUUUUUCCUCUAUUGCCAUUUCCAGUUCUUGCACCUUAGCUUGCAAUUUCUUCUCUGAUUCCUGCAACUGUUGCACCUGGAGAACCAAGUCCUGGUUCUUCUGCACAUUCUCCUGAAUAGAAUUUUCCAUAUCACUGAAUUUUGAUUGUAGAAUUGACAGCUUCUCUAUUUCAGCUUUCUGCUUUUCUACAGUCUCUUCCAGCUCCUGAAGCACUGAAACAAGCUCAACAUUUGACUCUUGACUCCUACUCAACUGCAAGGUGAGAUUGGCAUUAGAUUCUUUCUGAAACUUAAUCUCAUUUUCUAACUCCUUUAAAACAUGGGUUGCUCCUUUGUCCUGAAGUGAGGAAUCCUCCAAGGCUGCUGGUUUCUCUGUUGACUUCUCCAACAAUAGCUUCAGCUUUUCAACUUCCUUUUGCAGUCCCUCACGUUCUGCACACGCUGCUGACAGCUCCAUCUCCAAAUUUACUUGGUUACUGGACUGGUCUGAGUAUUCUUUCCUCAAUAUCUCUAAGUCAAGCAUUAGCUUCCUGGCAUUCCUCUCCCACAUCUUAGCUUCACUGUGAAGGUCUUCGAUUGUAUCUUCUGCAGCUUCCAAUAGGCUUUUAGAUGAACCUGAAAUUCUCGAAGAUGGUGCAGCCAACUCUUGAAGGUCAUCCACAGAAAGGUUUGCUGAAUGUGUAAUCCGUGA